UACAGAGGUCUCGAGCGUUGUUCGGAUUCAUUGGGCGUAAAGGGUGCGUAGGUGGCGCUGUAAGUCGGGUGUGAAAUCCUGAGGCUUAACCUCGGAACUGCAUUCGAUACUGGAAGUCUUGAGUCCGGGAGAGGUGAGUGGAACUCCGAGUGUAGAGGUGAAAUUCGUAGAUAUUCGGAAGAACACCAGUGGCGAAGGCGGCUCACUGGCCCGGUACUGACGCUGAGAUACGAAAGCGUGGGGAGCAAACAGG
Molecule: ribosomal RNA, 253 nt
Filed under: uncultured bacterium
Lineage: Bacteria
Description: partial 16S ribosomal RNA
Rfam family: Bacterial small subunit ribosomal RNA
Source: RNAcentral